UCGCAGUUGCAGGUGGCAACGGAGAGGAACCGGUGGUGGCGUCUCCCGAGCCUGCUGCCGCUGCCUGGACCCAAAAGCUAAUUCUGGCACUUGAAGAUGAUAUGGGAGCGACUUAUGUCUGCAUUGUGAAAUUGGUGUUCUAAAUGAAUUACAAAAAUGCAGGAUGAGGCAGUACAUAGUACUCUUGGCAUAUAGGAGAAUUUCAAUGUGUUAAAUAGAAGACAUCUUUGUUGUGUUGCUUUCUGAUGCCAUGCUAAUCAAUAUGUUGGAAGUUAUCAAGAAGUUCAUGAGAAAGCCAGUUUCAAAUUCUGAAGAAAAACGAAGAGGCAACUCUUGGACAUGUGGUAACAGAAGGAAAAAGAUGCUAUCAGGAGACAAUUCAAAUAAGGGAAAAACUAUUUUGAUUGCUCCUGACUUGCUGG
Molecule: long non-coding RNA, 422 nt
Organism: Marmota flaviventris (yellow-bellied marmot)
Lineage: Eukaryota; Metazoa; Chordata; Mammalia; Rodentia; Sciuridae
Source: RefSeq, a predicted model, not a curated record